UACAGGGGGGGCAAGCGUUGUUCGGAAUUACUGGGCGUAAAGGGCUCGUAGGCGGCCAACUAAGUCCGACGUGAAAUCCCAAAGCUUAACUUUGGAACUGCGUCGGAUACUGGAUGGCUUGAAUUCGGGAGAGGGAUGCAGAAUUCCAGGUGUGGCGGUGAAAUGCGUAGAUAUCUGGAGGAAUACCGGUGGCGAAGGCGGCAUCCUGGACCGACAUUGACGCUGAGGAGCGAAAGCUAGGGGAGCAAACGGG
This 253-nucleotide ribosomal RNA is filed under the name uncultured bacterium. Its description in RNAcentral is "partial 16S ribosomal RNA". It matches the Rfam family "Bacterial small subunit ribosomal RNA", at positions 524 to 776 of the family's 1533-position model. The record is from RNAcentral.